Molecule: unclassified non-coding RNA, 173 nt
Filed under: Aspergillus nomiae
Lineage: Eukaryota; Fungi; Ascomycota; Eurotiomycetes; Eurotiales; Aspergillaceae
Description: Aspergillus nomius miscellaneous RNA
Source: RNAcentral
GCUGCCCAUCAAGCACGGCUUGUGUGUUGGGUCGUCGUCCCCUCCUCCGGGGGGGGACGGGCCCUAAAGGCAGCGGCGGCACCGCGUCCGAUCCUCGAGCGUAUGGGGCUUUGUCACCCGCUCUGUAGGCCCGGCCGGCGCUUGCCGAACGCAAAACAACCAUUCUUUCCAGG